GAGGGUAUAGCUCAGUGGUAGAAUGUGUGCUUAGCAUGCACGAGGUCCUGGGUUCAGUCCCCAGUACCUCCA
This 72-nucleotide transfer RNA is filed under the name Camelus bactrianus (Bactrian camel). It matches the Rfam family "tRNA". Rfam says of the family: Transfer RNA (tRNA) molecules are approximately 80 nucleotides in length. Their secondary structure includes four short double-helical elements and three loops (D, anti-codon, and T loops). The record is from Rfam by way of RNAcentral. Lineage: Eukaryota; Metazoa; Chordata; Mammalia; Artiodactyla; Camelidae. RNAcentral also lists the same sequence under 2 other names.